GAGCAGAGGGGAGGGGAGGGGAGGGGAGGGGGGAGGGGAGGAAGGGUGGAGGACAAGGAGGAGAAGGAAGAGCAAUGCAAAGUACCCUGCAGAACCCGGCACAAAGGUUCGAGGCCUUUGCUGCAUUGCCGACGUGGAGGAAUUACAGGAAGACAGACUGUGGCACAGAAAAAGAGGGAUGUACGAAGCCACCUGACCAACAAAGCAGGCUGAUCCUGGAGGGCGUGAGGUGCCCGACACUGGAGAUGGUGACAUAGCUUUUCUUUUAAGAAUAAAGCAAAAGAAAAUCCGAUAAAAGACUUGAAUGUAUAAGGAACUCUUCUAACUCAACAAUAAAAAGAUAAAUACAAUGAAAACAUGAGCAAAGGAUUUGAAUAGACAUUUCUCCAAAGAAGACAUACAAAUGGCCAAUAAGCACAUGAAAAGAUGCUCGACAUCAUUAGUCAUUAGGGAAACACAAAUCAAAACCACAAUGAGACAGCAGUGCGCUUCAAACUACAAUGUGAUCUCACUUUACUAGAACGGCUAAUUGUGGUGAAACUGGAAUGCUUGUACAUUGCUGCUGGGGUUGUAAAAUGGUACAGCCACUUUGGAAACAGUUCAGCAGCUCCUCAAAAAGUUACAGUUGGUGUCAUCACAUGACCCAGUAAUUCCUUUCCUCAGUAUAUACCCAAGAAAAAUAAAAACCUACACCCAUACAAAAACUUGUACCUAAAUAUUGAUAGUAGCAUUAUUUAAAAGUAGUCAAAAGUAGAAACAACUCAAAUGUCUGUCAACAGAUGAAUGGCUGAACUAAAUGUGGUAGGCACAUACAAUGGAAUAUUAUUUGGCCGGUGAUGAGAAGAGAUGGAGUAUGGACACACGCUGGAACAUGGGUGAAUCUUGAAACCAGUAUGCUAAUUGAGAGAAGACAUUCACGAAAGGUCACCUGCUGUAUGGUUCCAUUUCUACCAAAUGUCCAGAAUGGACAAAUCCAGAGGAAAAAAAAAGUCAGUGGUUGCCAGAGGCAGGGGUAGGGAAGAAUGGGAAGAGACUGUUGAAAGCUACAGGAUUUCUUUUUGGAAGGUAACGAGAAAUGUUCUGAAAUUCGAUAGCAGUGAUGGUUGCACAACGCUGUGAAUAUACUAAAAACUACUGAAUUACACAUUUUAAAAGGGUGAAUUUGGCUGGGCUUCUUGGUGGCUCAUGCCUGUGAUUGCAGCACUUUGGGAGGCCGAGGAGGGAGGAUCGUUUGAGGCUAGGAGUUUGAGACCAGCCUGGGCAACAUAGCAACACCCCAUCUCUACAGACAAACAAAAAAACAAAACAAAACAAAAAAUACAAAAAUUAGCUGGGCAUGCUGGUGCACACCUGUAGUUUCAGCUACUUGGGAGACAGACAGGAGGAUCACUUGAGCCCAGGAGGUCGAGGCUGCAGUAAGCCGUGAUUGUGCCACUGCACUCCAGCCCGGGUGACAGAGUGAGACCCUGUCUCAAUAAAAAAGGGUGAAUUUUAUACUCUGUGAAUUACUUCUCAGUAAAGUUGUUAUGAAAGUGAAGCAAAACGAUAAUUUAAAGAGAAAGGCCAACAGCAGUACAGGGACACAUGGCUCUUUGGCAAAGUCGUAGAUGACUCACGUGAAUGAUCGAAGUUGGUUUAUAGGCUUAUAAGGACAAAUCGCAGACAUCCUAGUUUAACAUUCAGGACCUGUGCUUAGCUCUAGCUUGUUCCCUGCUCUUCUUAAAAUGCCUAUGUUGGCCUUAUCCCUAUUUCUGGAACACUUAGGAAUCUUUCAAGCUGCUUCGUCUUUGCAGAUUUUGGGCCCUGCCUGGGAUGUCCCUUCUCCUGUUCUUCAUCUGGUUGAACCCAACCUGGUCAAUAUAGGUGGGCUUGAUAGGGGAUGGGGCCUGUGCCAGGCACUGAGCCUGGCCCUGGUGAGACAGCACAGAGAACUAAGAUAGACGUGGUCUGGGCCCUUGGCUGGCUCCAAGACAGGGUGGGCAGACAGAUGAGGAGCCUGCCACACCCACGCUGGGCUGCAGGAAUGGAAUAGAAGAACCUAACACAGUCUGAGAAAUCAGAGGGGACUCCCAGAAAGGGACACUUCAGCUGAGUAGUUGGUCAGGCAAAGAAGAGGGGAGGGAAAGGUCUGGGCAAAAGCCUCAAGACUGCACGCACGGCAGGUUGGAGGAAUCCUCAGAAGGUGGGUGUGGCUGGAACACAGCCCAGAAGGUGGGGAGUGCUGAGAAACAGUCAUAGAGAGAAAGCUGGAGUCUGGGGAUUGGGGCCCUCGUAGGCCAAGCCAAGGAAUCCAGAUAUUUGCAGAGCUCAAUUAGAUGCCAUCCGACGCUAGCCAGGUAUGGUGGUGCACACCUGUAGUCCCAGCUACUCGAGAGGCUGAGGCAGGAGAAUUGCUCGAAUUCCAGAGACGGAGGUUGCAGUGAGCCGAGAUUGCGUCACUGCACUUCAGCCUGGGUGACAGAGUAAGACUCCAUCUCAAGAAAAAAAAAAAGAUUCCAUACGACUCCAUAGGAUGGCUAUUUUUUGUUCACAUUAUGGAUCAUCCCUGCCGUUCUGCAUCCAUCUGCUGAUCGUUUUUCCCCCACUAGAAAGGAGAGGGACUUUGCACUGUUCACUGCUGUGUCCCCAACAGCCAGAAGAGUGCCUGGCUCACACACUCAAUACAUACGUAUUGAAUGCGUGACUUUACUUGCCUGUGUCCUCUGCUUACUGAGUUACUGAAAGCCAGGAACCUGUUGGAGUCAUCAUUGCGUCCCCAGGGCCUAGCACACAGCUCAGCCUGCACAUGCUGCUUAAUAAAUAUUUAAAGAUUAAUGAAGGAAUAAAUGUCUCCCCCCAUGUGUCACACAUUCCUGAAGGGCAGGGACUCUUCGAUUUAUGUCUCUAGUGCCCAACACAUUGCCUGGUAGAAAGCAGACACUCAAUAAAGGUUUGUUGAAAUAAACAAGAGUCUCUUCUUGUGUGCGGGCCCUUGUCAGGCCUGUCAUGGGAGCUCAAAUAGAGACAACCAGACCUGUGCUACUGGAUCUUAGGCAGGGGGGAAGAGACACCUUGCUGGCAAAGGGUCUUAGGAUCCCAGGGUCAAAAGCUGUGCAGAUAGGAUCAGCCUGCAUGUGUUGGGUGGCCAGAGAGACCAAAGAGGGCUUCCUGGGGGUCAGGAAUCCCGCCUUUGUUUAUGUCCCUUAGCACUGC
Callithrix jacchus (white-tufted-ear marmoset) is the source of this 3192-nucleotide long non-coding RNA. RefSeq lists it as uncharacterized. The record is from RefSeq and is a predicted model, not a curated record. NCBI's taxonomy places the organism in Eukaryota, Metazoa, Chordata, Mammalia, Primates, Cebidae.